CCCUUCGGGGCGAGCGGCGGACGGGUUAGUAACGCGUGGGAACAUACCCUUUGGUACGGAAUAGCCUCGGGAAACUGAGAGUAAUACCGUAUGAGCCCUUCGGGGGAAAGAUUUAUCGCCAAAGGAUUGGCCCGCGUAAGAUUAGAUAGUUGGUGGGGUAAUGGCCUACCAAGUCUACGAUCUUUAGCUGGUUUUAGAGGAUGAUCAGCAACACUGGGACUGAGACACGGCCCAGACUCCUACGGGAGGCAGCAGUGGGGAAUCUUAGACAAUGGGCGCAAGCCUGAUCUAGCCAUGCCGCGUGUGUGAUGAAGGCCUUAGGGUCGUAAAGCACUUUCGCCAGGGAUGAUAAUGACAGUACCUGGUAAAGAAACCCCGGCUAACUCCGUGCCAGCAGCCGCGGUAAUACGGAGGGGGUUAGCGUUGUUCGGAAUUACUGGGCGUAAAGCGUACGUAGGCGGAUCAGAAAGUAAGGGGUGAAAUCCCAGGGCUCAACCCUGGAACUGCCUCUUAAACUCCUGGUCUUGAGUUCGAGAGAGGUGAGUGGAAUUCCGAGUGUAGAGGUGAAAUUCGUAGAUAUUCGGAGGAACACCAGUGGCGAAGGCGGCUCACUGGCUCGAUACUGACGCUGAGGUACGAAAGUGUGGGGAGCAAACAGGAUUAGAUACCCUGGUAGUCCACACCGUAAACGAUGAAUGCCAGUCGUCGGGCAGUA
RNAcentral lists this ribosomal RNA (715 nucleotides) under alpha proteobacterium GM4. RNAcentral describes it as "bacterial SSU rRNA". It matches the Rfam family "Bacterial small subunit ribosomal RNA", at positions 76 to 832 of the family's 1533-position model. Lineage: Bacteria; Pseudomonadati; Pseudomonadota; Alphaproteobacteria. The record is from RNAcentral.